UCAAUUACAUAAGAAAAGUAAAAAUUACACUAUAGAGAGCCUGAAACAGGCAUAGACUUUUUAUCACAUGAUUAGGAAUUCCUCUCUGAGUUACGUAAUAAACCACCUCAAGUGCUAAGAUUGUUCCAUAUCCUUUCUCAUGUCCUUGUGUAUCAGAGUUUCCUAAGGACCUCUAGGGAUCCUAGGAACUGCUCACACCAAGAUUGCAUAACCAAGACAGAGUAACUGCUGCGUGGAAAGACCAGGUUUUAUGUGUCCAUGUUUAGAGGAAACUCAAGGGUCCCAAAGCAAGGGUCACACAAAAGGGACAGAAUCUAGUGAUGUAAGAGUAUAUGUGAGAAUGCUUGACAUAGAUUUAAAAGAGUUGAGUUGGAAACAAUUUUGACAAUGAUUAGUUUGAAAUAAAUAUUGGAAGGCAAUAGAAGAGUUUUCCUUAAUAAAAACCUGCUUAAUGAAGACAUGAAACAAGACAAUAACAAUUAAAGACCAAAUCAACAUACAUAGUCCAAAGAAAAACAUGGAAAUGAGGAAUUAGGGACAAGUAGUUCAUAUAUGGAAGCAUAUUUUCACACAGGUUAACAUCAAAGAAGUACUAAAGAACUUAAAUAGUCACAUCAAUAGUCUAUCACAAAGUGUUCAUGCCGUGAGCUUAACAAUAUUAGAUUUAAGGGGUUCUAAAAAAAGUUACACAUUAGGUUUAGAGGAAAGGGUUCAAGAUCACAUAGUAACUAGGUGUGCUGCUUAUAGUGUAUUGGGGGUUAGGGGGUAGGGGAGAACAGUAGUAGAAAAUGUAGGAAAGGUGUAGAUAUGUUGAAUUACAGUGUAAUAACAUGGGAAAAUAGGCAUACCAAUUGCAAGGGAGACAUCAGAACCACAAGUAGAAGCAUAAGACAAACAAAAGGAAGUGCAAUACAAAUAGAGACAUAUUGUUUUAGAUGUUGUAAAUUAAACUGAAAACAUAUCAGUAAAAAUGAGAGAAUAAAUUCAGAGUGAGGAGUGAAGAGAAAUACAAUGAAGGGAAGUAGAGCAGUAGAACAAUAGAGUAGUAGAGCAAUGUAACCACUCAAUUUUGGGUUGCAGCUCAGUGAAUAUCAAGUAAGAGAGUAUGUAUGUAUACAAGAGAGAGUUCAGAAUAUUGUAAUUGUUCGUGUCAUGCUAAAGAGAGAGUUGAGUAUUUAUAGUUUCAGAACAGGAAGGAAAAUAAGGUAAUAAGUAC
Molecule: long non-coding RNA, 1216 nt
Filed under: Nicotiana benthamiana
Lineage: Eukaryota; Viridiplantae; Streptophyta; Magnoliopsida; Solanales; Solanaceae
Description: long non-coding RNA (NBEN_LNC033600)
Source: RNAcentral